This 407-nucleotide ribosomal RNA is filed under the name uncultured bacterium. Its description in RNAcentral is "partial 16S ribosomal RNA". It matches the Rfam family "Bacterial small subunit ribosomal RNA", at positions 30 to 526 of the family's 1533-position model. The record is from RNAcentral.
AUUGAACGCUGGCGGCAGGCCUAACACAUGCAAGUCGAGCGGAGCUGCGGACGGGUGAGUAAUGCCUAGGAAUCUGCCUGGUAGUGGGGGAUAACGUCCGGAACCGGGCGCUAAUAUCGCAUACUAUCAGAUGAGCCUAGGUGGGAUUAGCUAGUUGGUUGGGUACAGGCCUACCAAGGCGACGAUCCGUAACUGGUCUGAGAGGAUGAUCAGUCACACUGGAAAUUAGGAACGGGCCAGACUCCUAAGGGGGGCAGCAGUGAGGAAUAUUGGACAAUGGGCGAAAGCCUGAACCAGCCAUGCCGGGUGUGUGAAGAAGGUCUUCGGAUUGUAAAGCACUUUAAGUUAGGAGGCGUUAACAACAGAAUAAGCACAGGCUAACUUCGUGCCAGCAGCCGCGGUAAUAC